CUAUCAUGCAAGUCGUACGCACGCGCUUCGGCGCGUGAGUGGCGCACGGCUGAGUAACACGUGGGAACCCGCCCUCCGGUGGGGGAUAACGCGACGAAAGUCGCGCUAAUCCCGCAUACGUCCGCAAGGGGAAGCGCUUCGGCGCGCCGGAGGAGGGGCCUGCGGCCCAUCAGGUGGUUGGUGGGGUAACGGCCUACCAAGCCGAUGACGGGUAGCUGGUCUGGGAGGAUGACCAGCCAGACUGGGACUGAGACACGGCCCAGACUCCUACGGGAGGCAGCAGCAAGGAAUUUUCGGCAAUGGGCGCAAGCCUGACCGAGCAACGCCGCGUGCGGGAUGACGGCCUUCGGGUUGUAAACCGCUUUUCGGGGGGACGACUACGACGGUACCCCCGGAAGAAGCCCCGGCUAACUCUGUGCCAGCAGCCGCGGUAAGACAGAGGGGGCGAGCGUUGUCCGGAGUUACUGGGCGUAAAGCGCGCGCAGGCGGUGGUCUCAGUGUCGUGUGAAAGCCCCCGGCUCAACCGGGGGAGGUCAUGGCAAACUA
RNAcentral lists this ribosomal RNA (546 nucleotides) under uncultured bacterium. Its description in RNAcentral is "bacterial SSU rRNA". It matches the Rfam family "Bacterial small subunit ribosomal RNA", at positions 49 to 635 of the family's 1533-position model. The record is from RNAcentral.